Suricata suricatta (meerkat) is the source of this 103-nucleotide small nuclear RNA. The record is from Ensembl. Lineage: Eukaryota; Metazoa; Chordata; Mammalia; Carnivora; Herpestidae.
CUGCUUCAGCAGCACAUAUACUAAAAUUGGAACAAUACACAGAAGAUUAGCGUGACCCCUGUGCAAAGAUGACAAACAAAUUAAUGAAGCGUUAAAAAAAUAU